UGCAGUCGAGCGACUGAUUAGAAGCUUGCUUCUAUGACGUUAGCGGCGGACGGGUGAGUAACACGUGGGCAACCUGCCUGUAAGACUGGGAUAACUUCGGGAAACCGAAGCUAAUACCGGAUAGGAUCUUCUCCUUCAUGGGAGAUGAUUGAAAGAUGGUUUCGGCUAUCACUUACAGAUGGGCCCGCGGUGCAUUAGCUAGUUGGUGAGGUAACGGCUCACCAAGGCAACGAUGCAUAGCCGACCUGAGAGGGUGAUCGGCCACACUGGGACUGAGACACGGCCCAGACUCCUACGGGAGGCAGCAGUAGGGAAUCUUCCGCAAUGGACGAAAGUCUGACGGAGCAACGCCGCGUGAGUGAUGAAGGCUUUCGGGUCGUAAAACUCUGUUGUUAGGGAAGAACAAGUACAAGAGUAACUGCUUGUACCUUGACGGUACCUAACCAGAAAGCCACGGCUAACUACGUGCCAGCAGCCGCGGU
This 482-nucleotide ribosomal RNA is filed under the name Priestia sp. Its description in RNAcentral is "bacterial SSU rRNA". It matches the Rfam family "Bacterial small subunit ribosomal RNA", at positions 56 to 521 of the family's 1533-position model. The record is from RNAcentral. Lineage: Bacteria; Bacillati; Bacillota; Bacilli; Caryophanales; Bacillaceae.